Molecule: ribosomal RNA, 111 nt
Organism: Macaca nemestrina (pig-tailed macaque)
Lineage: Eukaryota; Metazoa; Chordata; Mammalia; Primates; Cercopithecidae
Source: Ensembl
CUUUAUAGCCAUACCACCCUGAACGCAGGGGAUCUCGACUGAUCUUGGAAGCUAAGCAGGGUCGGGCCUAGUUAGUACUUGACCCCCUGGGAAUACUGGGUGCUAUAGGCU